AUGAACACACACCCACUGAUAACAGGGAAAGCUACUCUGGAGAAGCUUGGUCUUCAACCACUGACUUUGUGCACCCACGCCACAGUAACCCUGUGGGGCUGUUGUCGACUGAGACUGACAGCAGUGGAGAAGAGCCUAAGGAGGAAACCAUCGUGUACCUGUAAAUAUGGACAAAAGUGCGAUAGCUUCAUCAUCUAUCAGACCAAGCAGAUCCGUAAAACAAUCCAACAUUGUUUUGUGAAUACAUUUCUGUACCUUGUAGUAUUUUGUACAGUUUUAUGUUUGCUCAUGUUUUAUGCAAAUUGAUCUCAGUAACACAUGCAGUGUCCAGUGCCUUUAAAGUUUAAAUUAUCUUGUUGUAUAGUUUGUUUGCGGCCAAGUGUGUAACCUUUAUUUUGUUUUAGCUGUUCAUGUACAGAUGUAUGCUUCCUCAGGCACUAUAUGUAUUAAAUGUUAAUUUAAAAUAUUCAAACUAAAAGUAAAAUACUUUUAAACAUGGAACACUAAUCUGUGUUAAUGGCUACAUUUAGAAUCACUGCUCACUGAGUAGAAAACCAAGUGAAGCACUAAAGGCCAAGAUGGUGCAUAGUUACACCAAAAUAUUGCCUACAUAUACUGUACCUUCAUUAAAAUAACACAUCAUAAUUUUCUUGUUCAGGCAAAUGCUCUGGUUCAGCACAGACAAUUUUCAAAGAACUCAACUCUGAUAUCAGCUACAGCAACACAUAAAAUCAAGGAACAUUUGGAUUAUAUGGCGAUAUAUGGCCCAUAAAAUCAUGGCCAAUGAGCAGUGACGUGGAUACAGUGUUUUCAAAUUGAUUAUCUCCAGUGGCCUGUUAAUGGGUGGGAAAAGAGCUGACAAAGAAGUGUAAUCCAAGUUUAACAUUAGAUGUGAAUGAUUCUGAAUCACAGACAGGUCACUGGAUAACACUGCAGGUUUUUCGGCUUGCUAUUUCAGCACAUAGCCACCGUGGGCAGGAGAUUGGAAAGAAUGAGAAUCACAAUAGCAGAUGUUUUUUUCCCUUGCAUUGGCACAAAUAAAAGUUCCAUU
This 1051-nucleotide long non-coding RNA is filed under the name Neogobius melanostomus (round goby). RNAcentral's name for it is "lncRNA (ENSNMLG00000008177.1)". The record is from RNAcentral. Lineage: Eukaryota; Metazoa; Chordata; Actinopteri; Gobiiformes; Gobiidae.